AUGCAGCAUUACUGUAAGUCGCUUUGGAUAAAAGCAUCUUCUAAAUAUCAUAUU
Molecule: non-coding RNA, 54 nt
Organism: Salmo salar (Atlantic salmon)
Lineage: Eukaryota; Metazoa; Chordata; Actinopteri; Salmoniformes; Salmonidae
Source: Rfam